GACGAACGCUGGCGGCGUGCCUAAUACAUGCAAGUAGAACGCUGAAGCUUGGUGCUUGCACCGAGCGGAUGAGUUGCGAACGGGUGAGUAACGCGUAGGUAACCUGCCUGGUAGCGGGGGAUAACUAUUGGAAACGAUAGCUAAUACCGCAUAAGAGUAGAUGUUGCAUGACAUUUGCUUAAAAGGUGCAAUUGCAUCACUACCAGAUGGACCUGCGUUGUAUUAGCUAGUUGGUGAGGUAACGGCUCACCAAGGCGACGAUACAUAGCCGACCUGAGAGGGUGAUCGGCCACACUGGGACUGAGACACGGCCCAGACUCCUACGGGAGGCAGCAGUAGGGAAUCUUCGGCAAUGGACGGAAGUCUGACCGAGCAACGCCGCGUGAGUGAAGAAGGUUUUCGGAUCGUAAAGCUCUGUUGUAAGAGAAGAAUGAGUGUGAGAGUGGAAAGUC
This 452-nucleotide ribosomal RNA is filed under the name Streptococcus sp. oral taxon C08. RNAcentral's name for it is "bacterial SSU rRNA". It matches the Rfam family "Bacterial small subunit ribosomal RNA", at positions 28 to 465 of the family's 1533-position model. The record is from RNAcentral. Lineage: Bacteria; Bacillati; Bacillota; Bacilli; Lactobacillales; Streptococcaceae.